AUGCCAACACCUCUCAUAUAUACCCAAACUUCCAGAAAGAAACCUAGAUCGGAAGUUCCGCCGCUGCAAGCCUCUGUAGCCACGAGAAAUCAAUCUAGGCCCUCUCUGGCACCCUGUCGGAGGGGGCCAUCAUCACUGGUGGCCAUGGAGGAGUAUCCCGGAGAGGCCAUCAUUGCCAUGAAGGCCAAGGACCAGAGGGAGAACCUUUCCCCAUCCAGGGGGAGGCCAUGGAGGAGGAAGCACAAGGGGGAGAAACUCUCCUCCUCUCUCUUGGUGGCAUUGGAGUGCCAUCGGGAGGGGAAUCAUCGUCGCGGUGAUCGUCUUCAUCAACAUCACCAUCAUCAUCACCAUCCUCAUCUCUUUUACGCGGUCCACUCUCCCGCACCCCGCUGUAAUCCCUACUUGAACAUGGUGCUUUAUGCCACAUAUUAUGAUCCAAUGAUGUGUUGCUAUCCUAUGAUGUUUUGA
RNAcentral lists this ribosomal RNA (468 nucleotides) under Triticum aestivum (bread wheat). Its description in RNAcentral is "partial small subunit ribosomal RNA". The record is from RNAcentral. Lineage: Eukaryota; Viridiplantae; Streptophyta; Magnoliopsida; Poales; Poaceae.